GGGCCAGACUCCUACGGGAGGCAGCAGUAGGGAAUAUUGGUCAAUGGGUGAGAGCCUGAACCAGCCAUGCCGCGUGCAGGAAGAAGGCCUUCUGGGUUGUAAACUGCUUUUGCCAGGGGAUAAAAAUNCCUUGCGAGGUAAAUUGAAGGUACCUGGUGAAUAAGCCACGGCUAACUACGUGCCAGCAGCCGCGGUAAUACGUAGGUGGCAAGCGUUGUCCGGAUUUAUUGGGUUUAAAGGGUGCGUAGGCGGCCCUGUAAGUCAGUGCUGAAAUAUCCCAGCUUAACUGGGAGGGUGGCAUUGAUACUGCGGGGCUAGAGUACAGAUGAGGUAGGCGGAAUUGACGGUGUAGCGGUGAAAUGCUUAGAUAUCGUCAAGAACACCUAUAGCGAAGGCAGCUUACUAGGCUGUAACUGACGCUGAGGCACGAAAGUGUGGGGAUCAAACAGGAUUAGAUACCCUGGUAGUCCACACUGUAAACGUUGAUUACUCGCUGUGUGCGAUAUACAGUACGCGGCCAAGCGAAAGCGCUAAGUAAUCCACCUGGGGAGUACGCCGGCAACGGUGAAACUCAAAGGAAUUGACGGGG
Molecule: ribosomal RNA, 589 nt
Filed under: uncultured bacterium
Lineage: Bacteria
Description: bacterial SSU rRNA
Rfam family: Bacterial small subunit ribosomal RNA
Source: RNAcentral